Folsomia candida is the source of this 1311-nucleotide long non-coding RNA. RefSeq lists it as uncharacterized. The record is from RefSeq and is a predicted model, not a curated record. The transcript is spliced from 3 exons. Lineage: Eukaryota; Metazoa; Arthropoda; Collembola; Entomobryomorpha; Isotomidae.
UGGAGCCAUUCACCUUCACUCGCCUGAGGACUUCUGUGAACCUUCUUUGCCCUUCCAUUUCUAAAAAUAAGACUCAAAUUUAUACCAUGUAAGUACGAUUUUAGCCUUUCAAAGCUGGGAGAGGUUUCACCUUGCAAAUUCGUCACUUUACAGUUUUUGUUCGUUAAUAUAUAGCGAAAAUAAAUAAAUACAUAUCACCGAUUCGGGGCGAAACGCUGACGAAAUAUAAACUAGAUCAGUAUACGACAUUGCACUACGGAUGCAUUUACUAAAUUGAUUUCCACACAAAACUUCAGGAUUUCGAAUGGAUCUACGGCCAGGAACUAAAUGGGCAUGUUCAAAGUGCUCAAAAACGUUGAGCUCUAAGAGAAACUUAAACCUUCACAUGUUGACGCAUGACCCAGCUGCGAAGGUGAAGUGUGAGAUCUGCAGGAAAAUGCUUAAAAAUCAACAAACCUUAUCCAUCCACACAAAAAUGUCUCACACCAAGCGGGACCGACCACGUUGCGGCCUCUGUCACCGUGAAUUUUGCACAUCUGGAAAUUUACAGAGAUACAUUUUUAGCAAACACACCGCGCUGAAAUGGCCCCGUUUACCAUGUGGGUUUCCCGGAUGUGGAAAAACCUACUUAAACUCUGAAAGUGUAUCACAUCACUACACGUAAAAACUGAACACACCGAGAAUCCGACCCGAUUUCCGUGCACACUUUGCGGCUACACAUUUGGAAAAAUCAGCCCGAAGGAUUUUCAAGUGUGAACAUUGCUCUCAUAUUUCUUUAAGUAGACGUGACUUACGAAUGCAUAUCCGAAUUGUACAUGAAAAACAGAGGAAUCAUCAUUGCACAUUUUGUGACAAAAGCUUCUUGCGAUCAAGCGAUAUGAGGCUUCACCUGGAGGCACGACAUCCCGCGAAUAAGGAGAAGAUUCAUUCUUGUGAUCGAUGCGAAUUUAUGAGUCGCUCACAAAAAAGUUUAGCUAAACAUGUGAGGCGUCACAAUCCUGCGAAUCGACGAGAAUGCUACUUUUGCCAGAAGCAGUUUUUCUACUUCACCGAAUUAGUGAGACACUUCCAUCGUCAUGCCCUUGAAAUGUGACAAUCUUGGAAAUUUGGUGUUGUCUCAUUUUAUUUUAGGCUGGUGAGAAUUGUCUGUUUAUAAAAAUGCAAAAUAUAGAAAAACUAACAGCAUGAGAAAUGAAUAUUACAUAAUUAGCGAUUAUUAAUUACAUGGAGAUCCUGUCAAUUUACUAGGCAAUAUCCCCACCUUGUAAUUCCAUGCAUUUGUAAUUGUCGAUGAAAUUAUGUUAAAUUUUA